AGAGUUUGAUCCUGGCUCAGGAUGAACGCUAGCGGCAGGCUUAACACAUGCAAGUCGAGGGGUAGAAGAGGCCUGCUUCUUUGAGACCGGCGCACGGGUGCGUAACGCGUAUGCAAUCUACCUUUCACAAAGGGAUAGCCCAGAGAAAUUUGGAUUAAUACCUUAUAGUAAUACGACUUGGCAUCAAGAUGUAUUUAAAGAUUUAUCGGUGAAAGAUGAGCAUGCGUCCCAUUAGCUAGUUGGUAUGGUAACGGCAUACCAAGGCAACGAUGGGUAGGGGUCCUGAGAGGGAGAUCCCCCACACUGGUACUGAGACACGGACCAGACUCCUACGGGAGGCAGCAGUGAGGAAUAUUCCUCAAACGGGCCAAGCCUGAUCCAGCCAUGCCGCGUGCAGGAUGACGGUCCUAUGGAUUGUAAACUGCUUUUAUACAGGAAGAAACACCUCUACGUGUAGAGACUUGACGGUACUGUAAGAAUAAGGAUCGGCUAACUCCGUGCCAGCAGCCGCGGUAAUACGGAGGAUCCAAGCGUAUCCGGAAUCAUUGGGUUUAAAGGGUCCGUAGCCGGUCAGAUAAGUCAGUGGUGAAAGCCCAUCGCUCAACGGUGGAACGGCCAUUGAUACUGUCUGACUUGAAUUAUUAGGAAGUAACUAGAAUAUGUAGUGUAGCGGUGAAAUGCUUAGAGAUUACAUGGAAUACCAAUUGCGAAGGCAGGUUACUACUAAUAUAUUGACGCUGAUGGACGAAAGCGUGGGUAGCGAACAGGAUUAGAUACCCUGGUAGUCCACGCCGUAAACGAUGGAUACUAGCUGUUGGGCGCAAGUUCAGUGGCUAAGCGAAAGUGAUAAGUAUCCCACCUGGGGAGUACGAACGCAAGUUUGAAACUCAAAGGAAUUGACGG
This 903-nucleotide ribosomal RNA is filed under the name uncultured Flavobacterium sp. Its description in RNAcentral is "bacterial SSU rRNA". It matches the Rfam family "Bacterial small subunit ribosomal RNA", at positions 8 to 916 of the family's 1533-position model. Lineage: Bacteria; Pseudomonadati; Bacteroidota; Flavobacteriia; Flavobacteriales; Flavobacteriaceae. The record is from RNAcentral.